Molecule: ribosomal RNA, 250 nt
Filed under: uncultured bacterium
Lineage: Bacteria
Description: partial 16S ribosomal RNA
Rfam family: Bacterial small subunit ribosomal RNA
Source: RNAcentral
UACGAAGGGUGCAAGCGUUACUCGGAAUUACUGGGCGUAAAGCGUGCGUAGGCGGUUUGUUAAGUCUGCUGUGAAAGCCCUGGGCUCAACCUGGGAACUGCAGUGGAUACUGGCGAGCUAGAGUGUGUCAGAGGAUGGUGGAAUUCCCGGUGUAGCGGUGAAAUGCGUAGAGAUCGGGAGGAACACCAGUGGCGAAGGCGGCCAUCUGGGACAACACUGACGCUGAGGCACGAAAGCGUGGGGAGCAAAC